UACAGAGGUCUCAAGCGUUGUUCGGAUUCAUUGGGCGUAAAGGGUGCGUAGGCGGCGCGGUAAGUCGGGUGUGAAAUCUCGGGGCUUAACUCCGAAACUGCAUUCGAUACUGCCGUGCUUGAGGACUGGAGAGGAGACUGGAAUUUACGGUGUAGCGGUGAAAUGCGUAGAUAUCGUAGGGAAGACCAGUGGCGAAGGCGGGUCUCUGGACAGUUUCUGACGCUGAGGCACGAAGGUCAGGGGAGCAAACGGG
This 253-nucleotide ribosomal RNA is filed under the name uncultured bacterium. Its description in RNAcentral is "partial 16S ribosomal RNA". It matches the Rfam family "Bacterial small subunit ribosomal RNA", at positions 524 to 776 of the family's 1533-position model. The record is from RNAcentral.